GAUGAACGCUAGCGGCAGGCCUAACACAUGCAAGUCGAACGGUAACAUGAGUAGCAAUACUUGAUGACGAGUGGCGCACGGGUGCGUAACGCGUAUGCAACUUACUUCUAACUGGAGAAUAGCCUUCCGAAAGGAAGAAUAAUACUCCAUAAUAUUACGAUGUGGCAUCACAUUGUUCUUAAAGCUUCGGCGGUUAGAGAUGGGCAUGCGUUCUAUUAGUUAGUUGGAGUGGUAACGGCACCCCAAGACAGCGAUAGAUAGGGGCCCUGAGAGGGGGAUCCCCCACACUGGUACUGAGACACGGACCAGACUCCUACGGGAGGCAGCAGUGAGGAAUAUUGGACAAUGGGCGAGAGCCUGAUCCAGCCAUGCCGCGUGCAGGAAGACGGCCCUAUGGGUUGUAAAACUGCUUUUUGUACGGGAAGAAACACCCCCUCGUGAGGGGGGCUUGACGGUACCGUAAGAAUAAGGAUCGGCUAACUCCGUGCCAGCAGCCG
Molecule: ribosomal RNA, 497 nt
Filed under: uncultured bacterium
Lineage: Bacteria
Description: bacterial SSU rRNA
Rfam family: Bacterial small subunit ribosomal RNA
Source: RNAcentral